CACCACCACACGCACCUGCUGCAGAUAGUAGACUACGUCGGCGCCGCGUGGGAGGACGUAGUGCGUUGCACCGGCGGCAAGGUGCGCUACUUCAGCGAGUAGCGUGCGCAGUGCUUAGUGCUCCGUGCUCAGUGCUCAGUGUGCAAUGCUCAGUGCUAGUGAACUGUUAAACUUCACUGUCGGAACUGACAUAGGAUAUAACGCUUAGGGAAGUGUGCGCGUCGGAUAUCGCCGCUUAUAUUUUUAUUAUAGUGAAUAAAUAAAGCGAUUCCGAACGGUUACAGUAACAUUGGUUAAAAACUGUUCCUAGUGCGUGUUCAGAAUAUUUUGUGAACAAGUGUUUCGACGUUUUUCGUGCGAUGUGAAUUUGAUCGCUGUGUUUAAUGUUCUCUUUCUAAGUGAAUUUGGAAGCUUCGAAGUGAAUUGUCUCGCUCUAUCUAAUACUGUGUGGAGUCCUUGUUAGCGUUCUCGCUGUGAUUUAAAAAAUGUUUUCGCUAUGUAUAUAAGAGGACUAGAGCUUACGUGGGCAUUUAACUAUCACAUUUGCACCUAUAUGUAAAAAAAAA
Long non-coding RNA from Papilio polytes (common Mormon), 566 nucleotides. RefSeq lists it as uncharacterized. The record is from RefSeq and is a predicted model, not a curated record. The transcript has 2 exons. NCBI's taxonomy places the organism in Eukaryota, Metazoa, Arthropoda, Insecta, Lepidoptera, Papilionidae.